AUAGCUCAGUGGUAGAGUACAUGCUUAGCAUGCACAAGGUCCUGGGUUCAAUCCCCAGU
Molecule: transfer RNA, 59 nt
Filed under: Camelus bactrianus (Bactrian camel)
Lineage: Eukaryota; Metazoa; Chordata; Mammalia; Artiodactyla; Camelidae
Also listed under: 3 other names
Rfam family: tRNA
About the family: Transfer RNA (tRNA) molecules are approximately 80 nucleotides in length. Their secondary structure includes four short double-helical elements and three loops (D, anti-codon, and T loops). Further hydrogen bonds mediate the characteristic L-shaped molecular structure. tRNAs have two regions of fundamental functional importance: the anti-codon, which is responsible for specific mRNA codon recognition, and the 3' end, to which the tRNAs corresponding amino acid is attached (by aminoacyl-tRNA synthetases). tRNAs cope with the degeneracy of the genetic code in two manners: having more than one tRNA (with a specific anti-codon) for a particular amino acid; and 'wobble' base-pairing, i.e. permitting non-standard base-pairing at the 3rd anti-codon position.
Source: Rfam by way of RNAcentral